Molecule: ribosomal RNA, 496 nt
Filed under: uncultured bacterium
Lineage: Bacteria
Description: partial 16S ribosomal RNA
Rfam family: Bacterial small subunit ribosomal RNA
Source: RNAcentral
GAUGAACGCUGGCGGCGUGCCUAAUACAUGCAAGUCGAGCGAACAGACGAGGAGCUUGCUCCUCUGACGUUAGCGGCGGACGGGUGAGUAACACGUGGAUAACCUACCUAUAAGACUGGGAUAACUUCGGGAAACCGGAGCUAAUACCGGAUAAUAUAUUGAACCGCAUGGUUCAAUAGUGAAAGACGGUUUUGCUGUCACUUAUAGUUGGAUCCGCGCCGCAUUAGCUAGUUGGUAAGGUAACGGCUUACCAAGGCAACGAUGCGUAGCCGACCUGAGAGGGUGAUCGGCCACACUGGAACUGAGACACGGUCCAGACUCCUACGGGAGGCAGCAGUAGGGAAUCUUCCCAAUGGGCGAAAGCCUGACGGAGCAACGCCGCGUGAGUGAUGAAGGUCUUCGGAUCGUAAAACUCUGUUAUUAGGGAAGAACAAAUGUGUAAGUAACUAUGCACGUCUUGACGGUACCUAAUCAGAAAGCCACGGCUAACUACGUG